Molecule: ribosomal RNA, 483 nt
Filed under: uncultured bacterium
Lineage: Bacteria
Description: partial 16S ribosomal RNA
Rfam family: Bacterial small subunit ribosomal RNA
Source: RNAcentral
AUUGAACGCUGGCGGCAGGCCUAACACAUGCAAGUCGAGCGGAUGAAGGGAGCUUGCUCCUGGAUUCAGCGGCGGACGGGUGAGUAAUGCCUAGGAAUCUGCCUGGUAGUGGGGGAUAACGUCCGGAAACGGGCGCUAAUACCGCAUACGUCCUGAGGGAGAAAGUGGGGGAUCUUCGGACCUCACGCUAUCAGAUGAGCCUAGGUCGGAUUAGCUAGUUGGUGGGGUAAAGGCCUACCAAGGCGACGAUCAGUAACUGGUCUGAGAGGAUGAUCAGUCACACUGGAACUGAGACACGGUCCAGACGCCUACGGGAGGCAGCAGUGGGGAAUAUUGGACAAUGGGGGAAAGACUGAUCCAGCCACGCCGCGUGGGUGAAGAAGGUCUUCGGAUUGUAAAGCACUUUAAGUUGGGAGGAAGGGCAGUAAGUUAAUACCUGGCUGUUUUGACGUUACCAACAGAAUAGGCACCGGCUAACUUCGU